GUCUACGGCCAUGCCACCCUGAACACGCCUGAUCCCAUAUGAUUUCGGAAGCUAAGCAGAGUCGGGCCUGGUUAGUACUUAGAUGGGAGACCACCUGGGAAGACCCGGUGCUAAAAAAA
This 119-nucleotide ribosomal RNA is filed under the name Pteropus alecto (black flying fox). Lineage: Eukaryota; Metazoa; Chordata; Mammalia; Chiroptera; Pteropodidae. The record is from RNAcentral. RNAcentral also lists the same sequence under 1 other name.